GACGAACGCUGGCGGCGUGCUUAACACAUGCAAGUCGAACGGAAAGGCCCUGCUUUUGUGGGGUGCUCGAGUGGCGAACGGGUGAGUAACACGUGAGUAACCUGCCCUUGACUUUGGGAUAACUUCAGGAAACUGGGGCUAAUACCGGAUAGGAGCUCCUGCUGCAUGGUGGGGGUUGGAAAGUUUCGGCGGUUGGGGAUGGACUCGCGGCUUAUCAGCUUGUUGGUGGGGUAGUGGCUUACCAAGGCUUUGACGGGUAGCCGGCCUGAGAGGGUGACCGGCCACAUUGGGACUGAGGUACGGCCCAGACUCCUACGGGAGGCAGCAGUGGGGAAUAUUGCACAAUGGGCGGAAGCCUGAUGCAGCAACGCCGCGUGCGGGAUGACGGCCUUCGGGUGGUAAACCGCUUUCGCCUGUGACGAAGCGUGAGUGACGGUAAUGGGUAAAGAAGCACCGGCUAACUACGUG
RNAcentral lists this ribosomal RNA (468 nucleotides) under uncultured bacterium. RNAcentral describes it as "partial 16S ribosomal RNA". It matches the Rfam family "Bacterial small subunit ribosomal RNA", at positions 28 to 507 of the family's 1533-position model. The record is from RNAcentral.